GGCUGCAGCUCGGCGCGGAGUGAAGACCCUCGGCGCUGGGGCUCGCCGAGGGGAAAGGGUGCUCGGCGAUGGGGGAGCAGGCGCCCGGCGAUGGGCGCGCGGGCCAUGCGCACUCGGGCGAGAGUCUUGGGCAGCCCGACGACGGGUGUGAGCACGCCUCGACACCUUUUUGCUCCAGAUUCGUCUGAGUUUAACAUUUUUUUCUUUUUAGAACCUCCCUGCAAAACAUUACAUCACCAUCACAAACUACUAAUAAAAUCAAUAAAAUAUGAUUCCAUUAUAUAACUAUAAAUCCCCGAAAAUCAUAACAAUAAGGCAUAAAUCAC
Molecule: long non-coding RNA, 326 nt
Filed under: Salvia miltiorrhiza (redroot sage)
Lineage: Eukaryota; Viridiplantae; Streptophyta; Magnoliopsida; Lamiales; Lamiaceae
Description: long non-coding RNA (SMIL_LNC013881)
Source: RNAcentral